Molecule: ribosomal RNA, 468 nt
Filed under: uncultured bacterium
Lineage: Bacteria
Description: partial 16S ribosomal RNA
Rfam family: Bacterial small subunit ribosomal RNA
Source: RNAcentral
GACGAACGCUGGCGGCGUGCUUAACACAUGCAAGUCGAACGGAAAGGCCCUUCUUUUGUGGUGUGCUCGAGUGGCGAACGUGUGAGUAACACGUGAGUAACCUGCCCUUGACUUUGGUAUCACUUCAGGAAACUGGGGCUUAUACCGGAUAGGAUCUCCUUCUGCAUGGUGGGGUUUGGAAAGUUUCGGCGGUUGGGUAUGGACUCGCGGCUUCUCCGCUUGUUGGUGGGGGAGUGGUUUACCAAGGCUUUGGCGGGUCGCCGGCCUGAGAGGGUGACGGGCCAAAUGGGGACUGAGAUACGGCCCAGACUCCUACGGGAGGAAGAAGUGGGGAAAAUUGAAAAAUGGGCGGAGGCCGGAUGCAGAAACGCGGCGUGCGGGAUGACGGCCUUCGGGUGUUAAACCGCUUUGGCCUGGGACGAAGCGUGAGUGACGGUAAUGGGUAAAGAAGCACCGGCUAACUACGUG